AGCAGAGUAGAAAUCUGUGCGUUAAGUGCCGCAUGAACGGGGAGUUGUCAUGCGGACGAAAAGCCGGUAAGGCUUGCGGUACGGAAUUCGCAUCCCGCUGCU
Molecule: non-coding RNA, 102 nt
Filed under: Lachnospiraceae bacterium 28-4
Lineage: Bacteria; Bacillati; Bacillota; Clostridia; Lachnospirales; Lachnospiraceae
Also listed under: 1 other name
Description: THF (Tetrahydrofolate) riboswitch aptamer
Rfam family: THF (Tetrahydrofolate) riboswitch aptamer
About the family: THF riboswitch presents a pseudoknot that joins P1-P2 and the loop of P3 and two THF binding.
Source: Rfam by way of RNAcentral